UGCCAGCAGCCGCGGUAAUACGGAGGGUGCAAGCGUUGUCCGGAAUUAUUGGGCGUAAAGCGCGUGUAGGCGGUUCGUUAAGUCUGAUGUGAAAGCCCGGGGCUCAACCCCGGAAGUGCAUUGGAAACUGGCGAACUUGAGUACGGGAGAGGAAAGUGGAAUUCCGAGUGUAGGGGUGAAAUCCGUAGAUAUUCGGAGGAACACCAGUGGCGAAGGCGGCUUUCUGGACGAUGACUGACGCUGAGAUGCGAAAGCGUGGGGAGCAAACAGGAUUAGAUA
Molecule: ribosomal RNA, 279 nt
Filed under: uncultured bacterium
Lineage: Bacteria
Description: partial 16S ribosomal RNA
Rfam family: Bacterial small subunit ribosomal RNA
Source: RNAcentral